AUGAUUUUUCCUGUAUUUACUUACACUAACUGUAACUUGUUUCUCCCAACAGAAACAUGUGGAUGGAGUAGGGAUGAGCAUGAGGAAAACUCUCAGGUGCACUACUGGGACCAGACAGCUCGAUGGAAAUGCAGUGAGGAUUACAGAGAAGGCGUGGAUGGAAAUGUUACACUCUUUAUUUCCAGUAUCCACCUCAGCAGACACCAGCAUUUGGGCUUUACAUAGACAGAAUACUUAUGUGUGUAGUUGAUGGAAUUUUGCCCUUGUCCUUUUCCAAGGCACAGAGUGAGGCUUCUUUUCCACAUUCCAUGAUCAGAAGGGAGGACUGAAAGAAGAAGUCUGAGGGAAUUUUAUAGAAAAGUUUCUGGCCAUGUCAGAGGCAUUAAGUUCUCAUAUCCAAUAAGAAUGUGCCACAUGAAUAAAGAAAAAAAACCCUACCCCA
This 442-nucleotide long non-coding RNA is filed under the name Cyanistes caeruleus (blue tit). RNAcentral's name for it is "lncRNA (ENSCCEG00000017328.1)". The record is from RNAcentral. Lineage: Eukaryota; Metazoa; Chordata; Aves; Passeriformes; Paridae.